This 592-nucleotide long non-coding RNA is filed under the name Chrysolophus pictus (golden pheasant). RNAcentral's name for it is "lncRNA (ENSCPIG00010001520.1)". The record is from RNAcentral. Lineage: Eukaryota; Metazoa; Chordata; Aves; Galliformes; Phasianidae.
ACAAACAAAGCCCUGUUUAGGAGGUUCCUUCUGUAGUGGCCAGAUCAUCUUGAGGCAGCAGCGCUGGCUGGACCUGGGAUGCUGUUUGCUUGGGUAAGGAUGCCUUUGCUGUGCUGCAGCGCUUUGCUGACAGCAGGACAUGCACUGCCCUGGGACACCCCAGGCCCAUCCCAGGAGGCCUGGAGUGAUGCAGGGCUCACUGACUUCUGCUGCUCAGGAAAUACCCCCAAACCCACCUGUGGACGCUCACCCCAACCCUCACCCUCCCACCCCAAGGCUCUGGGUUGAUGCUUGCACAUUCCUGCAUGAGGACCACCAGCAGGAGAGGGAUUUGCUGCAGGCUGUGGCAGGUUCUUAAUAUCUCCCUUCCCUCCUUUGCUGCACAGCACAGAUCCCCCUUCCAACACAUGCACGAGAGCAGAGCCGAACCGUUCGCACAGAAAACAGAAACUGAAGCUUGGAAAGAAGCAGAGGAGCAGACGAAGGACUGAAUCCUGAGGAUGCGAAGUGCUUUGCAUAUCCCCUGCAGCCAGCCAGCCUCUGGUCCAGCAAAGCAAUGGAAUUUCUUGCAAACAUGCAUUUUUCAGAUCUA